Molecule: long non-coding RNA, 134 nt
Filed under: Anser brachyrhynchus (Pink-footed goose)
Lineage: Eukaryota; Metazoa; Chordata; Aves; Anseriformes; Anatidae
Description: lncRNA (ENSABRG00000016424.1)
Source: RNAcentral
GAAUGCGGGAGAUAUGUCUAUGAAUAAUUGCUAAAGGUGUACAUAUAUUAAUUUUGAUAAUAAGUAGGCAGAAGUUCCAGCAAAUUGUGAUAAACACUGAGGAAUCAAACAACACUGCUUGAAAGACUAUGAAA